Molecule: ribosomal RNA, 499 nt
Filed under: uncultured bacterium
Lineage: Bacteria
Description: partial 16S ribosomal RNA
Rfam family: Bacterial small subunit ribosomal RNA
Source: RNAcentral
ACUCAAAUGAAUUGACGGGGGCCCGCACAAGCGGUGGAGGAUGUGGUUUAAUUCGACGCAACGCGAAGAACCUUACCAAGGCUUGACAUCCACAGAAUUUUUUAGAAAUAAGAAAGUGCCCGAAAGGGAACUGUGAGACAGGUGGUGCAUGGCUGUCGUCAGCUCGUGUCGUGAGAUGUUGGGUUAAGUCCCGCAACGAGCGCAACCCUCGAUGCUAGUUACCAUCAUUUAGUUGGGGACUCUAGCGUGACUGCCGGUGAUAAGCCGGAGGAAGGUGAGGACGACGUCAAGUCAUCAUGCCCCUUACGCCUUGGGCUACACACGUCCUACAAUGGUAUAGACAAAGGGCUGCAAGCUAGCGAUAGCAAGCGAAUCCCAUAAACUAUAUCUCAGUUCGGAUUGCAGGCUGCAACUCGCCUGCAUGAAGUUGGAAUCGCUAGUAACCGUAGAUCAGCAUGCUACGGUGAAUACGUUCCCGGGCCUUGUACACACCGCCCGU